Molecule: ribosomal RNA, 486 nt
Filed under: uncultured bacterium
Lineage: Bacteria
Description: partial 16S ribosomal RNA
Rfam family: Bacterial small subunit ribosomal RNA
Source: RNAcentral
AUUGAACGCUGGCGGCAUGCCUUACACAUGCAAGUCGAACGGAAGCACGGGUGCUUGCCUCUGGUGGCGAGUGGCGAAGGGGGGAGUAAUACAUCGGGACAAGUCCUGUAGUGGGGGGUAGCCCGGCGGAAGCCGGGUUAAUAACGCAUACGAUCUACGGAUGAAAGAGGGGGACAUUCGGACCUCGCGCUUUGGGGUUGGCCGACGGCUGAUUAGCUAGUUGGUGGGGUAAAGGCCUACCAAGGCGACGAUCAGUAGCCGGUCUGAGAGGAAGACCAGCCACACUGGGACUGAGACACGGCCCAGACUCCUACGGGAGGCAGCAGUGGGGAAUUUUGGACAAUGGGCGAAAGCCUGAUCCAGCAAUGCCGCGUGUGUGAAGAAGGCCUUCGGGUUGUAAAGCACUUUUGUCCGGAAAGAAAUCCUUGGCCCUAAUACGGUCGGGGGAUGACGGUACCGGAAGAAUAAGCACCGGCUAACUACGUG